CGCCUCGGUGAUCGCGGGUCGGCCGGAGAAGAUGGGGAGUUCCGGAGCGCGGGUCCGGCGGGACGGACUUGGGGCCGUGGCCCACUCGGCUCCUAAGCCUGCCGCAGGGGUCACCGCAUCACCCGGCGGCGGCCCCUUUAUGCGCUGCCGCCCGAGCCGCCGCCGCCGCCACCGCGGUAGCUGCCUCUUCCUUCUAGGCUCAGCGCCGCCUCCUCAGCCGCCGCGGAUCCCUCCGCCAGGGAGCAAGAGCCCAGGCCUCGGGCUCGGCCGGCGCCUCUGGGUCGGACGGUCAGAGGGACUGCUUGCUGCAGGUGGACCGAUGGACGCGCGGGCGGGCGGCGCCGCCGGGGUGGGGCAGGCGGAGCGCGGGGUGGGCCCAGGCCGAGGGGCAGGUCGGGAGAGCGGGGAUUGGCGGGCCGGGGAGGGAGGGCUGGGCCGCGCCGGCGGCGGAGGGAUACGGGCCGCCCCUGUGAGUACCUUACGUGCUGUCGCCGUCGCCGCCACGGCCGCCGAGACGAUGACGCCGCGAAGCGCAAGGAGGAGAUCUCGCGAGACCUGUGAUCACUCGACCAUCCCCAGAGCAUAGACGGACCCGAGAAGAGCACUUAGGUCCAUUGCAAUGUUCCUGAAGGAGGAAGGGACUUGUCCAAGGUCACACGGCUCCACAGUGGCAAAGCUGGGACUUCUCUUAAGUCGAGAGGUUCGUCAAAUCCCUCUCUGGAAGCCGCGUGGCAACAGCCUGGGCACCUGCGGGAAUGUGGUUGUACACGCACGCCGCAGGCAGCCCUGAGAUGGUGUUUCCGACGAAGGCCCCAGCUGAGAGACAGUUUGAAUGUCUCAGCCACUGGCACGUCAGGAGAAGUGCUCUGCUUGGGACCUUGAAGAUCAUCGAUUAACAGAGGAGAAACUGGAGCCCCUAAGGAAAAGGAUCUUGCCAAAAGUCACACAAUAGAUCAUCAGCAAAACUUGUACUGCCUCAUCUACUGAGUAGAGGCUGGACCCAUAGGGCAGGGCCACCAUGGACCCAGUGAGUCAAAGGAGGGAAAAGCUGUGUCCAGUCACCCAAGAUGCAUAGGUUUUAGGUUGAAGGUGAAGAGGAAGAGUCCGAAGUCCUAAAUCUUUUCUUCCUGAGAACUGUGAUGGGAGAGGUACAAAAAUGCCCAUUGGUCAGAUUUUUAAAAAUUUUUCUUCAG
Balaenoptera musculus (blue whale) is the source of this 1193-nucleotide RNA transcript. It is a transcript of the gene named translation initiation factor IF-2-like, with no coding region annotated. The record is from RefSeq and is a predicted model, not a curated record. Lineage: Eukaryota; Metazoa; Chordata; Mammalia; Artiodactyla; Balaenopteridae. The transcript has 3 exons.